AUACGCAGCAAAGGGCGUCUGGGGGAUGCCUAAGGCUUCUGACGGCGAUGAAGGACGUGGCAAGCGACGAAACACGGUGGGGACCCGCUGGCAGGGGCUGAUCCACUGG
RNAcentral lists this ribosomal RNA (109 nucleotides) under Spirosoma sordidisoli. RNAcentral's name for it is "Spirosoma sp. TY50 partial 23S ribosomal RNA". It matches the Rfam family "Bacterial large subunit ribosomal RNA", at positions 1 to 110 of the family's 2925-position model. The record is from RNAcentral. Lineage: Bacteria; Pseudomonadati; Bacteroidota; Cytophagia; Cytophagales; Cytophagaceae.